This 253-nucleotide ribosomal RNA is filed under the name uncultured bacterium. RNAcentral describes it as "partial 16S ribosomal RNA". It matches the Rfam family "Bacterial small subunit ribosomal RNA", at positions 524 to 776 of the family's 1533-position model. The record is from RNAcentral.
UACGGAGGGUGCCAGCGUUAUCCGGAUUCACUGGGUUUAAAGGGUGCGUAGGUGGGCCGGUAAGUCCGUGGUGAAAUCUCUGAGCUUAACUCAGAAACUGCCGUGGAUACUAUUUGUCUUGAAUGUUGUGGAGGUGAGCGGAAUAUGUCAUGUAGCGGUGAAAUGCUUAGAUAUGACAUAGAACACCAAUUGCGAAGGCAGCUCACUAGACAAUUAUUGACGCUGAGGCACGAAAGCGUGGGGAUCAAACAGG